UACUGCUCAGUAACACGUGGAUAACCUGCCCUUGGGUCCGGCAUAACCCCGGGAAACUGGGGAUAAUUCCGGAUAACGCACAUAUGCUGGAAUGCUUUAUGCGUAAAAUGGAUUCGUCUGCCCAAGGAUGGGUCUGCGGCCUAUCAGGUAGUAGUGGGUGUAAUGUACCUACUAGCCUACAACGGGUACGGGUUGUGAGAGCAAGAGCCCGGAGAUGGAUUCUGAGACAUGAAUCCAGGCCCUACGGGGCGCAGCAGGCGCGAAAACUUUACAAUGCGGGAAACCGUGAUAAGGGGACACCGAGUGCCAGCAUCAUAUGCUGGCUGUCCAGGUGUGUAAAAUACACCUGUUAGCAAGGGCCGGGCAAGACCGGUGCCAGCCGCCGCGGUAACACCGGCGGCCCGAGUGGUGAUCGUGAUUAUUGGGUCUAAAGGGUCCGUAGCCGGUUUGGUCAGUCCUCCGGGAAAUCUGACGGCUCAACCGUUAGGCUUUCGGGGGAUACUGCCAGGCUUGGAACCGGGAGAGGUAAGAGGUACUACAGGGGUAGGAGUGAAAUCUUGUAAUCCCUGUGGGACCACCUGUGGCGAAGGCGUCUUACCAGAACGGGUUCGACGGUGAGGGACGAAAGCUGGGGGCACGAACCGGAUUAGAUACCCGGGUAGUCCCAGCCGUAAACGAUGCUCGCUAGGUGUCAGGCAUGGCGCGACCGUGUCUGGUGCCGCAGGGAAGCCGUGAAGCGAGCCACCUGGGAAGUACGGCCGCAAGGCUGAAACUUAAAGGAAUUGGCGGGGGAGCACA
Molecule: ribosomal RNA, 798 nt
Filed under: uncultured archaeon
Lineage: Archaea
Description: bacterial SSU rRNA
Rfam family: Archaeal small subunit ribosomal RNA
Source: RNAcentral